CUCCACCCUGUCCCCUGGACUCGCCUCUGCAGCCAUGCAGGGGUCUCACCACCUCAAAGGUGGAGUGCAGAUAGACGGAGGGUUGGAGAUCAUGCAUGACGUCCCUCAAAAGAAAAACAGGGUAAAAAAGGCACGAGGAGCCCUUUAAACCAGGAGUCCUCAAACUUCUUGAGCCUGUGGGCAUAUUUGGAAUUCUGGCGUGGCAUGAUGGGAGCAAGAACAACAUUUGUAACCAGCCACAAAACGACAGCCACGGCUUACCUUCAACCACGCAGUGAAAGAUCCUGUGGUAGUUGCUACUGCCAGAAUAAUGGUGUUUUUUUUAAAAAAAAAAAUCUGUACUGCCAAUCAAAUCUCGAGUAGCCUACCACAGUCCUUGCUGGGCGAAAGACCCAUCUGGCCUUGCACGCUUCCUGGAAACACUUGGGGCCAGAAAGGUGCUCGGCAGAGUUUUACAGCACCCCCAGGCACCAUGCUGGGGGUGCCUGCUUUAGAAUAGAUCCUUUGCACACACGCACACCCCUUUCCUGCUUUCCUUCCUCGGUCAGUUCAGUCUGGGAUGCAAAGGUAAAGGUUCACAGGGCGUUCUUGCACCAAGAGAUUUAGGGUGGGAAUCUUCAGAAUUUAAAGCGAUAUAUACUGAAGGUAACAGGCACCUUUGAGAGCCCAGAAACCGUAGUGACUUCUGUUUUUGCAGCAGAGAAGCAACACGGGUAUUUCUCGAUUCAGCCCCGUUCUACGACUGUCCCGAGUGAAUUCUGAGAAUCGGCAAACUUCAAAGUGCAGCGCCCUUACUGGUUUUGACUGGUUGACGGUCGCUCGCUUUUGGUGUGAUUCAGUUGCCGGUUUGCUCAUCUUGCCACUUUGCUUCGGGGCAGAGUCCCUGGAUAAUGUACUACAGGCUAGGCAGUCACCUGCGAAGGCAACAACCGUUUGCUCAACUGGGGAAAUACAAAGCAGCAGGAACUAGUAUAUGUGGCCAAGCCUAUUCAGACACAGCGACUUUUAAUAAGCCAGCUUUCCACUGGGCAGAGUUACGAGGCAGAAAGGAAGGGUGUUCCGGAUAGAAAGCACAAGACGAGGAAAGAUUCUGCUUUAUAUCUCUUGCACACAUGGCCAUUCAGUUAUUUUAGGACACAGCCAAAUGUCUCGCCACUUUUAUUUAUAAGACUUUGGUAGCCUUAAAAAUGAGGAGAAAAGCAUUAUGCAGUUCUCGUGUUGGAAUAUGCUGUACGUUCACAGUUUACUUUUAUAUUAGUGCGUAAACAUGGUAUUAUGUUCCAAAAUAUCACUAGUUUUCAGUCAGCUACGAAGCAGGUGUUGUACUAUAAAUUAUACAUUAAAUGAUUUGUGAUUCAA
Sphaerodactylus townsendi is the source of this 1359-nucleotide long non-coding RNA. RefSeq lists it as uncharacterized. Lineage: Eukaryota; Metazoa; Chordata; Lepidosauria; Squamata; Sphaerodactylidae. The record is from RefSeq and is a predicted model, not a curated record. The transcript is spliced from 2 exons.